AUGCUUGAUUUACAUGAGGACUACUUCAUCGAUGGAAGAGGAUGCCAUCACCCUCACUGUCCCAAGCCGGACCAAGUCUUAGGCCUGAAGCCCCACACUGAUGCCGCUGUGAUCACAGUCGUGUUUAUCGAUGAUAACGUCAGUGGGCUCCGAGUUCAGAAAAAAUGGCUUCUGGUACAAAGUGCGAAUAGUUCCGAAUGCAUUACUUGUGAACACAGGAGAUGCAAUCGAGGUACGUGCAUGUGCAGGACGUUUCUUUCAACAAUCUGUUCUUCCUUACAGAAAUGGUUUAUGUUUAAACUUUUUGAUCAGAAUGUGCUAUAUACUGAUACUUUUGUGUCAUCGCAUGCCAUGAGCAGGCCAAUUCAUCUCUUUAAGCUCAAGUGUUACCCCCUUCCUCUACAUUAG
Molecule: ribosomal RNA, 408 nt
Filed under: Triticum aestivum (bread wheat)
Lineage: Eukaryota; Viridiplantae; Streptophyta; Magnoliopsida; Poales; Poaceae
Description: partial small subunit ribosomal RNA
Source: RNAcentral